GUGAAUCAUCGAAUCUUUGAACGCAAAUUGCACUCUCCUCGGAGAGUAUGCCUGUUUGAGGGUCAGCCUAUAAAAAUCGACAUCGUUGCUUUUUCGCGGUCGCGUUCGUCUUAAAUUGGGUCAUCUUAAAUCCUUUUGAUUUAAGCGACUUAAAAGUUUCUUUUGGUUCCAUUAACGUUUCUAAAAUCUAUUUCUUUACACUUUUAAGGUAUCGAUUUUUACUAUACGUUACCAUCAUAUAUGAUCGCGUCCAUAAUCUUUCAUUAACUGACCUCAGAUAUG
This 282-nucleotide unclassified non-coding RNA is filed under the name Glomus sp. RNAcentral's name for it is "partial contains 5.8S ribosomal RNA and internal transcribed spacer 2". The stretch from base 1 to 65 matches the Rfam family "5.8S ribosomal RNA", at positions 84 to 154 of the family's 154-position model. Lineage: Eukaryota; Fungi; Glomeromycota; Glomeromycetes; Glomerales; Glomeraceae. The record is from RNAcentral.